CCUCAAAUCAGGUAAGAAUACCCGCUGAACUUAAGCAUAUCAAUAAGCGGAGGAAAAGAAAAUAACAAUGAUUCCCUCAGUAACGGCGAGCGAAGAGGGAUAAGCUCAAAUUUUAAAUCUGUUGGGUUCCGCUUAACAGAGUUGUAUUUUGAAGAAACGUUUUCUGCAUCCAGGAUUAGCCUAAAUCCUUUGGGAUAAGGUAUCAUGGAGGGUGAGAAUCCCGUUCAUGGUUAAUCUUAAGGAAGCUCUACGAUACGUUUUCCAAGAGUCGAGUUGUUUGGGAUUGCAGCUCAAAAUGGGAGGUAAAUUUCUCCUAAGGCUAAAUAUUGGCGAGAGACCGUUAGCGAACAAGUACCGUGAGGGAAAGAUGAAAAGAACUUUGAAAAGAGAGUUAAACAGUACGUGAAAUUGUUGAAAGGGAAACGAUUGAAGUCAGUCGUACCAGCGGGAAAUCAACCUUUCGUGUGGGGGUUUUGGAGUUUUGAAGAGUGUCAAAACCUUUGAGAUUUCGAAAUUUUCGCUCCUUUGGUGUACUUUCUCGUGGGUAGGUUAACAUCGAUUUUGAUCAUCAUAAAAAGAUUGGAGGAAUGUAGCUUCGAUCUUGUAUUGAAGUGUUAUAGCCUUUGGUAAAUGUGAUGAUUAGGAUCGAGGAUUGCAACGAAUACCCUUUUGGGCUAUCCGCCUGAUCUCUGAUACGUGGCCUUGGUAUCGAAAGCGUGCUUAUGGUAUUGAGGUAUUACGGUCAAAAGGUUAGAACGGAUUACAUUCGUUAAGGAUGUUGACGUAAUGGCUUUAAACGACCCGUCUUGAAACACGGACCAAGGAGUCUAACAUAUAUGCGA
This 842-nucleotide ribosomal RNA is filed under the name uncultured Glomeraceae. Its description in RNAcentral is "eukaryotic LSU rRNA". It matches the Rfam family "Eukaryotic large subunit ribosomal RNA", at positions 1 to 689 of the family's 3401-position model. Lineage: Eukaryota; Fungi; Glomeromycota; Glomeromycetes; Glomerales; Glomeraceae. The record is from RNAcentral.